Molecule: ribosomal RNA, 253 nt
Filed under: uncultured bacterium
Lineage: Bacteria
Description: partial 16S ribosomal RNA
Rfam family: Bacterial small subunit ribosomal RNA
Source: RNAcentral
UACAGAGGUCUCAAGCGUUGUUCGGAUUCAUUGGGCGUAAAGGGCGCGUAGGCGGUUUGCUAAGUUGAAUGUGAAAACUCUGGGCUUAACCCAGAGCCUGCAUUCAAUACUGGCAGGCUAGAGUUCUGGAGGGGAUAGCGGAAUUCCUGGUGUAGCGGUGAAAUGCGUAGAUAUCAGGAGGAACACCGGUGGCGAAGGCGGCUAUCUGGACAGAGUCUGACGCUGAGGCGCGAAAGCGUGGGGAGCAAACAGG